GAGCGAAAAUUACAGUAGCGAAGGUCAUGAUCUCACACUGCCAAGAAAAGCCUCUAGCCAGGAAGCAGGUGCCCGUACCGCAAACCGACACAGGUGGGCGAGAAGAGAAUUCUAAGGCGCGCGGAAGAACUCUCGUUAAGGAACUCGGCAAAAUGACCCCGUAACUUCGGGAGAAGGGGUGCCCCGGUAGUGUGAAUAGCACGAGGGGGCCGCAGUGAAAAGGCCCAAGCGACUGUUUAGCAAAAACACAGGUCUGUGCGAAGCCGCAAGGCGAAGUAUACGGGCUGACGCCUGCCCGGUGCUGGAAGGUUAAGGGGAGUGGUUAGCGCAAGCGAAGCUAUGAACCGAAGCCCCAGUAAACGGCGGCCGUAACUAUAACGGUCCUAAGGUAGCGAAAUUCCUUGUCAGGUAAAUUCUGACCCGCACGAAUGGCGUAACGAUUUGGGCGCUGUCUCAACGAGAGAUCCGGUGAAAUUUUAAUACCUGUGAAGAUGCAGGUUACCCGCGACAAGACGGAAAGACCCCAUGGAGCUUUACUGCAGCUUGAUAUUGAACUGGGGUGCGAUUUGUACAGGAUAGGUGGGAGCCUUUGAAGAGGGAGCGCAAGCUUCCUUGGAGGCGCCGUUGGGAUACCACCCUGAUCGCAUCUGAGUUCUAACCUGGUACCGUGAUCCGGUACAGGGACCGUGUCAGGUGGGCAGUUUGACUGGGGCGGUCGCCUCCUAAAAUGUAACGGAGGCGCCCUAAGGUUCCCUCAGAAUGGUUGGAAAUCAUUCGAAGAGUGUAAAGGCAUAAGGGAGCUUGACUGCGAGACCUACAAGUCGAGCAGGGACGAAAGUCGGGCUUAGUGAUCCGGUGGUACCGCAUGGAAGGGCCAUCGCUCAACGGAUAAAAGCUACCCUGGGGAUAACAGGCUUAUCUCCCCCAAGAGUCCACAUCGACGGGGAGGUUUGGCACCUCGAUGUCGGCUCAUCGCAUCCUGGGGCUGAAGUAGGUCCCAAGGGUUGGGCUGUUCGCCCAUUAAAGCGGUACGCGAGCUGGGUUCAGAACGUCGUGAGACAGUUCGGUCCCUAUCUGUCGUGGGCGCAGGAAAUUUGAGAGGAGCUGUCCUUAGUACGAGAGGACCGGGAUGGACGCACCGCUGGUGUACCAGUUGUUCCGCCAGGAGCAUCGCUGGGUAGCUACGUGCGGACGGGAUAAGCGCUGAAAGCAUCUAAGCGUGAAGCCCCCCUCAAGAUGAGAUUUCCCAAUUAGUAAGACCCCUUGAAGACGACGAGGUAGAUAGGUUGGGGGUGGAAGUGCAGCAAUGCAUGGAGCUGACCAAUACUAAUCGGUCGAGGGCUUAUCCAA
This is a ribosomal RNA of 1350 nucleotides. It matches the Rfam family "Bacterial large subunit ribosomal RNA", at positions 1570 to 2925 of the family's 2925-position model.